Molecule: long non-coding RNA, 1323 nt
Organism: Leopardus geoffroyi (Geoffroy's cat)
Lineage: Eukaryota; Metazoa; Chordata; Mammalia; Carnivora; Felidae
Exons: 3
Source: RefSeq, a predicted model, not a curated record
AGACGGGAUGCUGCCCGAUUCUUGAACUGCUGGACAAAACCAUUUAGGCCUUCCAACUUAUUCAGUUGAACUUUCAUUUUUUUAAUAAAAGUGAAAUGAAACAGAUGAACUUCAUUGAAAGUCCACUUUUGUGUCAAAUCCACAAGAGAACAAGAAAUUCAAGUGAUGGGGAAGCACAAGCACAUACUCUUUGCCGCCACCUGAAGAUUCCAAGCAAACUCUGAAUGUACAGCCAGAGCUCUCCACUCGGGGGUACCAGGACUGUUGAGUUUAAUUCACAGACCCCAGCUACAGAACAGAAGAACAGAAGAAAAGGGCCUGAAGAAGUCAGCCAAAGCUGGACCUCAGGCGGCUGAGACUGUCCGCUGGAACUUGCUUAGCAUCACUGAGCAGGCUAGGAAAAGGAAAAUACUUCUCCACACUCUCUUUCCUUUGACUAGCAAAACCUAUGUUUCCCUCCAGAAGCAGUUCAUUUAUCACUUCCUCUUGCAGCCUUGAUGCCCCAUCAGAAUUUAUAUCCCCAACCAAUUCUCCAUGGUCCUUAUACUAUUAUAUUGAUUGGUAUACACGCCAAAGGGGAUCAGGAUUUGUCACUUCAAAAUGCGCUCUUUUGGCAUAAGGAUUAUUUUAAGCUUGUUGUUUUUAAGAAACUACAGACACAGGAGAAGCUCUGAUAACCAAAUAGAAGUUACCCGUCUUAAGAGUCACAUACACACAUAAGGAAAGCCUCCAUUUAUAAGGGCGUCUCCCUCACUGUCCAGGGAAGAGAGGGUGGCCAGAUCUCCAGAAACUCUGAUCAACGCACAAUUCAAAGACUUAACUCUCCAUAACAAGCAUACUUUUGUUUACUGUGCUUUCUAAUAAGUUCCCGGAAGUGGUGCCCCAACCCCCAACAUACUGCUUUGCUUUGGUUGAGAUGAUUUUACCAUGACAGCCUAGGCUGUUUCAUUUUUUUUUAAAUAUAAUUUAUUGUCACAUUGGCUUACAUACAACACCCGGUGCUCGUCCCAACAAGUGAUGGCCUGGGCUAUUUCAAACACUUACUUCUCUUCCUGGGUAUCAUACACAGGGGUACAUAUGUUAUAAAAAUUGUAUGUCUUUCUUCUCUUAAUCUGUCUUUUUAUUAUAGGGGUGUAAUAAAGCCUAGAAAGAUAGAGGGGAAAUUAUUUUUCUUCCCCCACAAUGCCUUUCUUCCCAGAGAGACUGUAAGAUCUUUAAUGGUGAGACUAGGACAUAUGGUAUUUACCAUUGCAAUUCCCAGGAUUAAAAGUAUGGUACACCCUAGAAAAAAUAAUAAUAAAAUAAAUUAAAUUUAAAAUUAAA